GCAGAUUUCACUAUUUUUCUGUUUAUUAUUGCACCCAAAAUAAAUAUCUUUCGCAGUAUGUAAGAUAUGCAGGACAGUUUCAAGUUUUUCUUCAGUACAGAUGCUUCAUGUUGAACAUAGGAUUUAUUUUUUUCAGUUGAAAUCACAAAAUUCAAUACAGUGUUUUCAACUAUGUAUGGAAUGUACAGAAUGCAUUGAAACUGCAAAAAAAAAAAAAAAAAACCCAACCAACAACAACAACAAAAAAAACAACUUGUUGGAGAGAUGUAAAGAACUUGGGAAUAGUUGUUUGAAAUCAACAUCUAGGCUUUCAACUUCGAUUACCUGGGAUUACAACAAGGACAGUGAAAGCCUACAGACUCUGCAUCCAGAAUGUUGUAGAUGGGAAAAACUAUUUGAAGAACAUGAUGACUCUCAUCUUGUAAGAGCCUGGAGAGCAUCUGGACAUCUCUGGAAAGGUGGUUGAGGGAGGUUCCAGAUAAGGGAUGAAACAACGUGGGCGAGGAGAAAGGAGAAACUUUUUGUCAGUUACUGAGAAAGACGAGAAUGCAGCAGGAGGAAAAUACUGUUGUGCAGACAAGAGAAACGAUUCAAAAUGCAAUACCGAGAAAGGAAAGAAUAAACGAACAAAAUCCGUAGUUUCUAAGAGCGUUUGUUGAUGCUCCGUCUUUUCCAAAGCCAUGCCCAGGUGUUUGAUAGCCUCGGCCGAAGCAGCGUUGCAACGCAGCCCCGAGCCGCGCUCCUCGGCACUCGCCAGGCCGCCGAAGUUCCUCCGGGGCGGGCGGCCGGCCCGCCGCCUUUCUCCCUGCUCCCGAGUGGGACCGCCAGGGGGCGCUGUGAUGGCGAGGCGCCGGGCGGUUGGGAGGCGGGCAUCGAGCAGCGCUGCGUGGCGCCUGGAGCCUGAGCUGCGCGCCCCGCCCCGCCGGAACCUGGAGGGGGUAAAGGGGCGGCGCUAUCGGGGACGGGAAGGUGGCAGUUUCUAAAUGCGAAUUUUUAAAGGAGUUGGCAGAGUUCAUUUCUGAACGAGUGCGUUCAGAGUCACGUCCAGGAACAAGCGCAGUGUUCUCCUUUAACUCGUGAAUUGCAGCUUCCUGUUCCUGGGCAGCCGAGUGCAAAGCACAACGUAAAGCCAAAGCAACGCGUACUCAAACAGUUCAGCUCAUUCAUGUGCAAAUAGGUCUAUAACAUUUCCAAGCCAAAACUACGUAUAACAGCAUCACUUUAGGGGAGAAGACAAACGUAACCUGUCCCAUUAUCAUUAUCUCAUUGCAUUAUUAACUGUGGAACUGAAACCAUGAUAAUUUAGAAUGUGAUUACAAAUAAGUAAGAAAUAAGUAAAAAGCCCUCCGGCUUUUCAGAUCCUAAGUUCUUCAGGCACUUUCUUUAUU
Gallus gallus (chicken) is the source of this 1388-nucleotide long non-coding RNA. Lineage: Eukaryota; Metazoa; Chordata; Aves; Galliformes; Phasianidae. The record is from Ensembl.